Molecule: ribosomal RNA, 433 nt
Filed under: uncultured bacterium
Lineage: Bacteria
Description: partial 16S ribosomal RNA
Rfam family: Bacterial small subunit ribosomal RNA
Source: RNAcentral
AACGAACGCUGGCGGCAUGCCUAACACAUGCAAGUCGAACGAGACCUUCGGGUCUAGUGGCGCACGGGUGCGUAACGCGUGGGAACCUGCCCUUAGGUUCGGAAUAACUCCCCGAAAGGGGUGCUAAUACCGGAUAAUGUCUUCGGACCAAAGAUUUAUCGCCUUUGGAUGGGCCCGCGUUGGAUUAGCUAGUUGGUAGGGUACAAGCCUACCAAGGCGACGAUCCAUAGCUGGUCUGAGAGGAUGAUCAGCCACACUGGGACUGAGACACGGCCCAGACUCGGACGGGAGGCAGCAGUGGGGAAUAUUGGACGAGGGGCGAAAGCCUGAUCCAGCAAUGCCGCGUGAGUGAUGAAGGCCUUAGGGUUGUAAAGCUCUUUUACCCGGGAUGAUAAUGACAGUACCGGGAGAAUAAGCACCGGCUAACUCCGUG